CGCCCUUAGAGUUUGAUCAUGGCUCAGAUUGAACGCUGGCGGCAGGCUUAACACAUGCAAGUCGAGCGGUAGGAGAGCUUGCUCUCUACGAGCGGCGGACGGGUGAGUAAUGUCUGGGAAACUGCCUGAUGGAGGGGGAUAACUACUGGAAACGGUAGCUAAUACCGCAUAAUGUCGCAAGACCAAAGAGGUUCGUCUUGCCAUCAGAUGUGCCCAGAUGGGAUUAGCUAGUAGGUGGGGUAAUGGCUCACCUAGGCGACGAUCCCUAGCUGGUCUGAGAGGAUGACCAGCCACACUGGAACUGAGACACGGUCCAGACUCCUACGGGAGGCAGCAGUGGGGAAUAUUGCACAAUGGGCGCAAGCCUGAUGCAGCCAUGCCGCGUGUAUGAAGAAGGCCUUAGGGUUGUAAAGUACUUUCAGCGAGGAGGAAGGCGUUGUAUAAUUGCAACGAUUGACGUUACUCGCAGAAGAAGCACCGGCUAACUCCGUGCCAGCAGCCGCGGUAAUACGGAGGGUGCAAGCGUUAAUCGGAAUACUGGGCGUAAAGCGCACGCAGG
RNAcentral lists this ribosomal RNA (559 nucleotides) under uncultured Serratia sp. RNAcentral describes it as "bacterial SSU rRNA". It matches the Rfam family "Bacterial small subunit ribosomal RNA", at positions 1 to 575 of the family's 1533-position model. The record is from RNAcentral. Lineage: Bacteria; Pseudomonadati; Pseudomonadota; Gammaproteobacteria; Enterobacterales; Yersiniaceae.